UACACUCCUGCGGGAGGCAGCAGUGGGGAAUUUUGGACAAUGGGCGAAAGCCUGAUCCAGCAAUGCCGCGUGAGUGAAGAAGGCCUUCGGGUUGUAAAGCUCUUUUGUCAGGGAAGAAACGGUGAGAGCUAAUAUCUCUUGCUAAUGACGGUACCUGAAGAAUAAGCACCGGCUAACUACGUGCCAGCAGCCGCGGUAAUACGUAGGGUGCAAGCGUUAAUCGGAAUUACUGGGCGUAAAGCGUGCGCAGGCGGUUUUGUAAGUCUGAUGUGAAAUCCCCGGGCUCAACCUGGGAAUUGCAUUGGAGACUGCAAGGCUAGAAUCUGGCAGAGGGGGGUAGAAUUCCACGUGUAGCAGUGAAAUGCGUAGAUAUGUGGAGGAACACCGAUGGCGAAGGCAGCCCCCUGGGUCAAGAUUGACGCUCAUGCACGAAAGCGUGGGGAGCAAACAGGAUUAGAAACCCUUGUAGUCCCAU
Molecule: ribosomal RNA, 475 nt
Filed under: uncultured organism
Description: partial 16S ribosomal RNA
Rfam family: Bacterial small subunit ribosomal RNA
Source: RNAcentral